This 388-nucleotide ribosomal RNA is filed under the name uncultured bacterium. RNAcentral's name for it is "bacterial SSU rRNA". It matches the Rfam family "Bacterial small subunit ribosomal RNA", at positions 28 to 417 of the family's 1533-position model. The record is from RNAcentral.
AACGAACGCUGGCGGCGUGCUUAACACAUGCAAGUCGAGCGGUAAGGCCCUUUCGGGGGUACACGAGCGGCGAACGGGUGAGUAACACGUGGGUGACCUGCCCUCAGCUCUGGGAUAAGCCUGGGAAACCGGGUCUAAUACUGGAUAUGACUCCAUGACGCAUGUUGUGGGGUGGAAAGCCUUGUGCGGCUGAGGAUGGGCCCGCGGCCUAUCAGCUUGUUGGUGGGGUGAUGGCCUACCAAGGCGACGACGGGUAGCCGGCCUGAGAGGGCGACCGGCCACACUGGGACUGAGACGCGGCCCAGACUCCUACGGGAGGCAGCAGUGGGGAAUCUUGCGCAAUGGGCGAAAGCCUGACGCAGCGACGCCGCGUGAGGGAUGACGGCCU